RNAcentral lists this transfer RNA (78 nucleotides) under Deltaproteobacteria bacterium. RNAcentral's name for it is "tRNA-Arg". It matches the Rfam family "tRNA". From Rfam's summary of the family: Transfer RNA (tRNA) molecules are approximately 80 nucleotides in length. The record is from RNAcentral. RNAcentral also lists the same sequence under 1 other name. Lineage: Bacteria; Pseudomonadati; Myxococcota; Myxococcia.
GCGCCCGUAGCUCAGCCCGGAUAGAGCGUCGGACUUCGAAUCCGCAGGUCGUAGGUUCGAAUCCUACCGGGCGCGCCA